UUUUGCAUUUCAGAGUAACUUUCAUAAUGAUGUACCUUAUUUAAUGAUUGUUUUAAUAAGUAAACAUAAACUUGAUUUUUGAUGCAUAUAAAUAUAUACACUGGCGAUCAAAAGUAAGUGCAUGUUGAUUUUCGUUAAA
This is a long non-coding RNA of Rhagoletis zephyria (snowberry fruit fly), 139 nucleotides long. RefSeq lists it as uncharacterized. The record is from RefSeq and is a predicted model, not a curated record. NCBI's taxonomy places the organism in Eukaryota, Metazoa, Arthropoda, Insecta, Diptera, Tephritidae.